AAAUGCGAGCUAUGGGUCCUUUUUUCUAAUACUUGCAGAAGAUUUCAGCCCCGGCCACGAUGUUUGCUGUCAGCGGAUGGAAAAGUCUUCCUCAAUUUAUGGUUCAUACCCCAUUCUUCUGAAGUGCUGGUUAUAUUCAAAACUCUGCCAGAAAAGGCAGCUUUUAAAGCCUUAAAGCGAACUCUACAGCUGAUAGCUCCUCUGCAUGAUAUCGUGGCCUACCUUGUCAGUUUUGCUAAGCUUGGCAAUUGUCCAGCAUGUUUUGAAUUUCCUGUAAGUCCCAACCCUUCAAGAGGUGACUGGGGAGGAACUGAGGGCAUUGAAGAACAUUUUUGGCAGCUGGAAAUGUUCCUGCCUACCAGUCUGUCACAGACGGCAUGUGCCAUGGGCUACCAGCACUGAGCAACUCUCUCAGGAAGAGCAUUUUUGCCUCGCAGCUCAGCCUGCCCCAGCCACUGGAUCCACGGAGCCUCCAGGCAUUUGAGCUGUUUCCUUGGAGAGCAUUUCUGGAAGAUGGAGGACCAUUCCCAGUUAUGAGUAGCAGCCCAGAUACCCUAGAAUAUAAUAUGCAGGUAGGAUAGGUCUUCUCCAUUGUUGCAGAGAGAACUGAGUGCCAACUGCGAAGAUGGUUGCCAUUGGGUUCACAGGUCAGAUCCUCCUACUCUCACCCACAAUGAAUAAUGUGUGAGAUAAGCAGGGUGUUUGAUUUUUGAGGC
RNAcentral lists this small RNA (716 nucleotides) under Pongo abelii (Sumatran orangutan). RNAcentral describes it as "processed transcript". Lineage: Eukaryota; Metazoa; Chordata; Mammalia; Primates; Hominidae. The record is from RNAcentral.